GGCGGACGGGUGAGUAACACGUGGGGAUUUACCUUUAGGAGGGGGAUAACAAUUGGAAACGAUUGCUAAUACCCCAUAUGCUUUUGAGUGAAAUGGAUUUAUAUUUAUCCGCCUAGAGAGAAGCUCGCGGCUGAUUAGCUUGUUGGUAAGGUAAGAGCUUACCAAGGCGACGAUCAGUAUCUGGUUUGAGAGGACGAUCAGACACACUGGAACUGAGACACGGUCCAG
Molecule: ribosomal RNA, 228 nt
Filed under: uncultured bacterium
Lineage: Bacteria
Description: partial 16S ribosomal RNA
Rfam family: Bacterial small subunit ribosomal RNA
Source: RNAcentral